This 434-nucleotide ribosomal RNA is filed under the name uncultured Finegoldia sp. RNAcentral describes it as "bacterial SSU rRNA". It matches the Rfam family "Bacterial small subunit ribosomal RNA", at positions 61 to 504 of the family's 1533-position model. Lineage: Bacteria; Bacillati; Bacillota; Tissierellia; Tissierellales; Peptoniphilaceae. The record is from RNAcentral.
GGAUUUAGUAGACAGAAGCCUCGGUGGAAGAUUACUAAUGAGAGUGGCGAACGGGUGAGUAACGCGUGAGCAACCUGCCUAUGACAGUGGGAUAGCCUCGGGAAACCGGGAUUAAUACCGCAUAAAAUCGUAGAAACACAUGUUUUAACGGUCAAAGAUUUAUCGGUCAUAGAUGGGCUCGCGUCUGAUUAGCUAGUUGGUGAGAUAACAGCCCACCAAGGCGACGAUCAGUAGCCGGUCUGAGAGGAUGAACGGCCACAUUGGAACUGAGACACGGUCCAAACUCCUACGGGAGGCAGCAGUGGGGAAUAUUGCACAAUGGGGGGAACCCUGAUGCAGCGACGCCGCGUGAACGAAGAAGGUAUUCGUAUCGUAAAGUUCUGUCCUAUGGGAAGAUAAUGACAGUACCAUAGAAGAAAGCUCCGGCUAAAUAC